RNAcentral lists this ribosomal RNA (404 nucleotides) under uncultured bacterium. RNAcentral describes it as "bacterial SSU rRNA". It matches the Rfam family "Bacterial small subunit ribosomal RNA", at positions 355 to 776 of the family's 1533-position model. The record is from RNAcentral.
AGGGGAAUAUUGGGCAAUGGGCGCAAGCCUGACCCAGCCAUGCCGCGUGAGUGACGAAGGCCUUAGGGUUGUAAAGCUCUUUUGGCGGGGACGAUAAUGACGGUACCCGCAGAAUAAGCCCCGGCUAACUUCGUGCCAGCAGCCGCGGUAAUACGAAGGGGGCUAGCGUUGUUCGGAAUCACUGGGCGUAAAGCGCACGUAGGCGGACUUUCAAGUCAGGGGUGAAAUCCCGGGGCUCAACCUCGGAACUGCCUUUGAUACUGUUGGUCUCGAGUCCGAUAGAGGUGGGUGGAAUUCCUAGUGUAGAGGUGAAAUUCGUAGAUAUUAGGAAGAACACCGGUGGCGAAGGCGGCCCACUGGAUCGGUACUGACGCUGAGGUGCGAAAGCGUGGGGAGCAAACAGG